UCUCAACUGGCCUCCCUGGUUAAAUAAAGGUGUUCUCAACUGGCCUACCAGGUUAAAUAAAGGUGUUCUCAACUGGCCUACCAGGUUAAAUAAAGGUGUUCUCAACUGGCCUACCAGGUUAAAUAAAGGUGUUCUCAACUGGCCUACCAGGUUAAAUAAAGGUGUUCUCAACUGGCCUACCAGGUUAAAUAAAGGUGUUCUCAACUGGCCUACCAGGUUAAAUAAAGGUGUUCUCAACUGGCCUACCUGGUUAAAUAAAGGU
Oncorhynchus keta (chum salmon) is the source of this 262-nucleotide long non-coding RNA. RefSeq lists it as uncharacterized. The record is from RefSeq and is a predicted model, not a curated record. Lineage: Eukaryota; Metazoa; Chordata; Actinopteri; Salmoniformes; Salmonidae. The transcript has 2 exons.